This 240-nucleotide long non-coding RNA is filed under the name Salvia miltiorrhiza (redroot sage). Its description in RNAcentral is "long non-coding RNA (SMIL_LNC010253)". Lineage: Eukaryota; Viridiplantae; Streptophyta; Magnoliopsida; Lamiales; Lamiaceae. The record is from RNAcentral.
CGCAAUGGGGUUACAUGAUAGCCUACUUUAUGAUGGGGGACCACAUGGUAUAAAGAGGCUGCAUUGGGGUUACAUGAUAGCUUACAUGAUAGUUUUAGUUAAAAUUCAUUAUAUUCAAAUUUUUCUUUUUUUUUCAAAGGUUUAAAGGGCUACACGAUAGAACGUGUAGCCCUCGUGUAAUGUUCUCCCGCAACGGUUACACGAUAGCACAUUUACACGAUAGGGCUAUCGUGUAAUGGC